UAGGGAAUCUUCCGCAAUGGACGCAAGUCUGACGGAGCAACGCCGCGUGAGUGAAGAAGGAUUUCGGUUCGUAAAACUCUGUUGUUAGAGAAGAACAGCGCAUAGAGUAACUGUUAUGCGUGUGACGGCAUCUAACCAGAAAGCCACGGCUAACUACGUGCCAGCAGCCGCGGUAAUACGUAGGUGGCAAGCGUUGUCCGGAUUUAUUGGGCGUAAAGCGAGCGCAGGCGGUCAAUUAAGUCUGAUGUGAAAGCCCCCGGCUCAACCGGGGAGGGUCAUUGGAAACUGGUUGACUUGAGUGCAGAAGAGGAGAGUGGAAUUCCAUGUGUAGCGGUGAAAUGCGUAGAUAUAUGGAGGAACACCAGUGGCGAAGGCGACUCUCUGGUCUGUAACUGACGCUGAGGCUCGAAAGCGUGGGUAGCAAACAGG
RNAcentral lists this ribosomal RNA (429 nucleotides) under Bacteroidota bacterium. Its description in RNAcentral is "Bacteroidetes bacterium partial 16S ribosomal RNA". It matches the Rfam family "Bacterial small subunit ribosomal RNA", at positions 355 to 776 of the family's 1533-position model. The record is from RNAcentral. Lineage: Bacteria; Pseudomonadati; Bacteroidota.